RNAcentral lists this ribosomal RNA (377 nucleotides) under uncultured bacterium. RNAcentral's name for it is "bacterial SSU rRNA". It matches the Rfam family "Bacterial small subunit ribosomal RNA", at positions 521 to 896 of the family's 1533-position model. The record is from RNAcentral.
UAAAACGUAGGUGGCAAGCGUUAUCCGGAUUUAUUGGGCGUAAAGAGGGCGCAGGCGGCUUUUCAAGUCGGAUGUAAAAUCUCCCGGCUUAACCGGGAGGGAUCAUUCGAUACUGCUAAGCUAGAGGGCAACAGGGGGAGGUAGAAUUCCCGGUGUAGUGGUGAAAUGCGUAGAUAUCGGGAGGAAUACCAGUGGCGAAGGCGGCCUCCUGGGUUGUUACUGACGCUUAUGCCCGAAAGCGUGGGGAGCAAACAGGAUUAGAUACCCUGGUAGUCCACGCUGUAAACUAUGGACACUGGGUAUAGGGAGUAUCGACCCUCUCUGUGCCGAAGCUAACGCGUUAAGUGUCCCGUCUGGGAACUACGGCCGCAAGGCUA